AGCGGGCUAGCUCAAUCCGGUAGAGCGCAAGGCUCAUAACCUUGAGGUUCUCGGUUCAAAUCCGAGGCUCCGCAACCA
This 78-nucleotide transfer RNA is filed under the name Hyphomicrobiales bacterium. Its description in RNAcentral is "Rhizobiales bacterium tRNA-Met". It matches the Rfam family "tRNA". From Rfam's summary of the family: Transfer RNA (tRNA) molecules are approximately 80 nucleotides in length. Their secondary structure includes four short double-helical elements and three loops (D, anti-codon, and T loops). Lineage: Bacteria; Pseudomonadati; Pseudomonadota; Alphaproteobacteria; Hyphomicrobiales. The record is from RNAcentral.